GACGAACGCUGGCGGCGUGCUUAACACAUGCAAGUCGAACGGAAAGGCCCUGCUUUUGUGGGGUGCUCGAGUGGCGAACGGGUGAGUAACACGUGAGUAACCUGCCCUUGACUUUGGGAUAACUUCAGGAAACUGGGGCUAAUACCGGAUAGGAGCUCCUGCUGCAUGGUGGGGGUUGGAAAGUUUCGGCGGUUGGGGAUGGACUCGCGGCUUAUCAGCUUGUUGGUGGGGUAGUGGCUUACCAAGGCUUUGACGGGUAGCCGGCCUGAGAGGGUGACCGGGCCAAGUGGGGGGUGAGAGCGGCCCAGGCCUCCGCGGGGGGGAGGGGGGGGGGAUUAUGCAAAAGGGGGGGGGGGCGGAAGGCAGAACCGCCGGGGGGGGGAGGGGGGCUGUGGGGUUGAAACCGGUUUGCGCGGGGGACGAGGGGGGGGGGAGGGAAGUGGGAAAAGAAGCCCGGCAAAACUGGGG
RNAcentral lists this ribosomal RNA (468 nucleotides) under uncultured bacterium. RNAcentral's name for it is "partial 16S ribosomal RNA". The stretch from base 20 to 332 matches the Rfam family "Bacterial small subunit ribosomal RNA", at positions 47 to 358 of the family's 1533-position model. The record is from RNAcentral.